This 962-nucleotide long non-coding RNA is filed under the name Equus caballus (horse). RNAcentral's name for it is "lncRNA (ENSECAG00000051552.1)". Lineage: Eukaryota; Metazoa; Chordata; Mammalia; Perissodactyla; Equidae. The record is from RNAcentral.
AAAAGCCACAGAGGCAAGGCUGAACUCUAGGUCCUCUGACUCAAAGACAACUGUUCUUUCAAUUAAAAAACAGUACUUGUCCAUAAAAGUACCUUAAUAGCAAAAAGAACAAAAGAGUAAGAGGACUGGAGCAUGGGCUUCUAGAGGGUCACUUACUUGGACAAGCAUUCAGGAGCUCCUGCCAGAGAUCUGUCAUAUUGUGAAGAACAAAGGUGCUUUAUAAACAGUAGGAAAAACUGAAUGAAACAGGAUAUAGGAUGCAGUACUUAGUGCUGAAAGUUUCCUCUUGAGGAAAUCUUCCAUGGUGAGUGUGCCAUUCCCUGCUUCAAAAAGUUCGUUGGGUUAAAAUCGGGGAGUCUGGGUGAGUACAUACGCUUUAUAAUCUACUACUCACUCCUGUUGGUAAACAUGAGGAGAAGGGUGAAGGCUUCACGAUCCAUAGUUUUCAAGCAGAGUUUGCUUUCCUCCCACAGGUGAGGAAAAUGUCAUGUCCUUUGGAGAGACAUGAACAAAACCUGGAGAACCAGGAAACUGAAAUUUGACUCUUCAUGGCAGAAAGCACAAAGCAUAGGUAACAGAAGCUCCUGAUGUUUGCCCAUGCUCCCUCCUGCCCACCAAGUAUCUCUUCUCUUUUUCUUGUGUAAUACCGUUGGAUACUUUAUAGUGCAUCCUAUCUACACUAAGCUUGAUCAUAUUAAAAACGGUCGGUUCUAGAAUCCUUUUGCAAUAACUGAUGCUGUGUCAGUAUGUCUGCUGAUGGUGGAUAUAUAUGUGAAAUUGAUUGUCUGAACUCAGAACACUAAAUGGCAUUAAAUCAGUCUAUGUAAUAUAAAGCAAUGCACAGCCCCUCUCCAAUUUACUGUCCAUUCACUGUUUUUCUUCCUACUUGAGUUUUAGAGAAAAUUGAAGCCAAAGUUCUGGACGUCCUUCCCACCAUUCCCUUCCAAGGAAAGUUUGAAAAU